This 539-nucleotide ribosomal RNA is filed under the name uncultured bacterium. RNAcentral's name for it is "bacterial SSU rRNA". It matches the Rfam family "Bacterial small subunit ribosomal RNA", at positions 356 to 896 of the family's 1533-position model. The record is from RNAcentral.
GAGGAAUAUUGGUCAAUGGACGGAAGUCUGAACCAGCCAAGUAGCGUGCAGGAAGACGGCCCUAUGGGUUGUAAACUGCUUUUGUAUGGGGAUAAAGUCAAUCACGUGUGAUUGUUUGCAGGUACCAUACGAAUAAGGACCGGCUAAUUCCGUGCCAGCAGCCGCGGUAAUACGGAAGGUUCGGGCGUUAUCCGGAUUUAUUGGGUUUAAAGGGAGCGUAGGCCGGAGAUUAAGUGUGUUGUGAAAUGUAGACGCUCAACGUCUGACUUGCAGCGCAUACUGGUUUCCUUGAGUACGCACAACGUUGGCGGAAUUCGUCGUGUAGCGGUGAAAUGCUUAGAUAUGACGAAGAACUCCGAUUGCGAAGGCAGCUGACGGGAGCGCAACUGACGCUGAAGCUCGAAGGUGCGGGUAUCGAACAGGAUUAGAUACCCUGGUAGUCCGCACAGUAAACGAUGGAUGCCCGCUGUUGGUACCUGGUAUCAGCGGCUAAGCGAAAGCAUUAAGCAUCCCACCUGGGGAGUACGCCGGCAACGGUG